CGGCCUUCUUGACAGUUCAGGCCUCAGGGUGAAUAACACGUGGACACGUGACUUUUGGUUCGAAAUAGCUCAGGGAAACUUGUAGCUCAUACCGAAUGUGCCCUUCGGGGGAAAGAUUUCUCGCCAUUAUAGCGGCCCGCAUUCUGAUUAGCUUCUUUGUGAGGUAACCGCUCAUCGGCGCGACUAUCUGUAGCUGGUCUGACACGAUGAUGAGACACUCUGGGACUGAGACACGGCCCAGACUCCUACGGGAGGCAGCAGUGGAGUGUCUUGCGCAAUGCGCGAAGCCUGACGCAGCCUUGCCGCGUGUAUGAUGAGCGCUUUAGGAUUGAAAAAUUCUGUCACCGGAAACUAUGAUGACUGUACCGUGAUUAAGAGCCCCGUCUAAAUGCGUGCCAUCAUCCCGGUAAUGCUAAGGGGGUCUAGCGUUGCUCGCAAUUUACUGAGUCAUAAAACGGCGCGUACGCGGAUCCUUAAGUCAGGUGUGAAAACCCCGGGGCUACACCCUCGAAAAUUGCCGUUGAUACUGGCCAUCUAGUAUGUGAGAGAGGUCUGUGGCACUCCCUAGUGUACGAGGUGAAAUUUCGUACAUACUCGGGAAAACUCCCAGGGGCGAAAGGAAUCCUAUUGGCUCAUUACAGACGCUUAGGCGCGUAAACGUGGGCAAAAACGAGAAUUAGAUCCCUGGGUAGUCACGCCGUAACAAUGAUUGCUAGUUGUCGGACUGCAUGCAUUUCGGUGACGCAUCUCACGCAUAAACUAUCCACCUGGGUAUACGGUCCCUAGAUCAUACUCACAG
Molecule: ribosomal RNA, 799 nt
Filed under: Brevundimonas diminuta
Lineage: Bacteria; Pseudomonadati; Pseudomonadota; Alphaproteobacteria; Caulobacterales; Caulobacteraceae
Description: bacterial SSU rRNA
Rfam family: Bacterial small subunit ribosomal RNA
Source: RNAcentral